RNAcentral lists this unclassified non-coding RNA (200 nucleotides) under uncultured Ramaria. RNAcentral describes it as "sequence contains ITS2". Lineage: Eukaryota; Fungi; Basidiomycota; Agaricomycetes; Gomphales; Gomphaceae. The record is from RNAcentral.
UUAAGUUCAGCGGGUAGUCCUACCUGAUUUGAGGUCAGAUGACGUGAUCGUUGUCCGCGAGGACGAUUGUAAGCCACCACUAUGGUCUACGACGACGACGAACAGUUUAUUAUCACACCGUUGUCGUUAGAACCGAGGUGGAACAGCUAAUGCAUUUCGAGACGAGCCGUCAAAUACAGACGGCAGCGUCCAAAUCCAAC